RNAcentral lists this ribosomal RNA (1509 nucleotides) under Helicobacter pylori. RNAcentral describes it as "bacterial SSU rRNA". It matches the Rfam family "Bacterial small subunit ribosomal RNA". The record is from RNAcentral. Lineage: Bacteria; Pseudomonadati; Campylobacterota; Epsilonproteobacteria; Campylobacterales; Helicobacteraceae.
UUUUAUGGAGAGUUUGAUCCUGGCUCAGAGUGAACGCUGGCGGCGUGCCUAAUACAUGCAAGUCGAACGAUGAAGCUUCUAGCUUGCUAGAAGUGGAUUAGUGGCGCACGGGUGAGUAACGCAUAGGUUAUGUGCCUCUUAGUUUGGGAUAGCCAUUGGAAACGAUGAUUAAUACCAGAUACUCCCUACGGGGGAAAGAUUUAUCGCUAAGAGAUCAGCCUAUGUCCUAUCAGCUUGUUGGUAAGGUAAUGGCUUACCAAGGCUAUGACGGGUAUCCGGCCUGAGAGGGUGAACGGACACACUGGAACUGAGACACGGUCCAGACUCCUACGGGAGGCAGCAGUAGGGAAUAUUGCUCAAUGGGGGAAACCCUGAAGCAGCAACGCCGCGUGGAGGAUGAAGGUUUUAGGAUUGUAAACUCCUUUUGUUAGAGAAGAUAAUGACGGUAUCUAACGAAUAAGCACCGGCUAACUCCGUGCCAGCAGCCGCGGUAAUACGGAGGGUGCAAGCGUUACUCGGAAUCACUGGGCGUAAAGAGCGCGUAGGCGGGAUAGUCAGUCAGGUGUGAAAUCCUAUGGCUUAACCAUAGAACUGCAUUUGAAACUACUAUUCUAGAGUGUGGGAGAGGUAGGUGGAAUUCUUGGUGUAGGGGUAAAAUCCGUAGAGAUCAAGAGGAAUACUCAUUGCGAAGGCGACCUGCUGGAACAUUACUGACGCUGAUUGCGCGAAAGCGUGGGGAGCAAACAGGAUUAGAUACCCUGGUAGUCCACGCCCUAAACGAUGGAUGCUAGUUGUUGGAGGGCUUAGUCUCUCCAGUAAUGCAGCUAACGCAUUAAGCAUCCCGCCUGGGGAGUACGGUCGCAAGAUUAAAACUCAAAGGAAUAGACGGGGACCCGCACAAGCGGUGGAGCAUGUGGUUUAAUUCGAAGAUACACGAAGAACCUUACCUAGGCUUGACAUUGAGAGAAUCCGCUAGAAAUAGUGGAGUGUCUGGCUUGCUAGACCUUGAAAACAGGUGCUGCACGGCUGUCGUCAGCUCGUGUCGUGAGAUGUUGGGUUAAGUCCCGCAACGAGCGCAACCCCCUUUCUUAGUUGCUAACAGGUUAUGCUGAGAACUCUAAGGAUACUGCCUCCGUAAGGAGGAGGAAGGUGGGGACGACGUCAAGUCAUCAUGGCCCUUACGCCUAGGGCUACACACGUGCUACAAUGGGGUGCACAAAGAGAAGCAAUACUGCGAAGUGGAGCCAAUCUUCAAAACACCUCUCAGUUCGGAUUGUAGGCUGCAACUCGCCUGCAUGAAGCUGGAAUCGCUAGUAAUCGCAAAUCAGCCAUGUUGCGGUGAAUACGUUCCCGGGUCUUGUACUCACCGCCCGUCACACCAUGGGAGUUGUGUUUGCCUUAAGUCAGGAUGCUAAAUUAGCUACUGCCCACGGCACACACAGCGACUGGGGUGAAGUCGUAACAAGGUAACCGUAGGUGAACCUGCGGUUGGAUCACCUCCUUUCUAGA